UACGUAGGGAGCAAGCGUUGUUCGGAUUUACUGGGCGUAAAGGGCGCGUAGGCGGCGCGGUAAGUCACUUGUGAAAUCUCUGAGCUUAACUCAGAAACUGCCAUGGAUACUAUUUGUCUUGAAUAUUGUGGAGGUGAGCGGAAUAUGUCAUGUAGCGGUGAAAUGCUUAGAUAUGACAUAGAACACCAAUUGCGAAGGCAGCUCACUACACAGUUAUUGACGCUGAGGCACGAAAGCGUGGGGAUCAAACAGG
Molecule: ribosomal RNA, 253 nt
Filed under: uncultured bacterium
Lineage: Bacteria
Description: partial 16S ribosomal RNA
Rfam family: Bacterial small subunit ribosomal RNA
Source: RNAcentral